AGAUCACCAAGAAAACUGAAGAUUUCAUGCAAUGUAUCUAUUACUGUCUUGACAGAAGAGGCCAAACUGGAUCUAACAAAGAUGGAAAAAGAAGGGUCAGGUGGACAACUGCAUAUAAGAAUAAGAAAGAGCGUACAGUCUGAGAAACGUACUGGUCUUCAGUGGGCUUCUUCCUUAAAUACACAGUAAAUACCAGCGUUGUCUGCAAAGAUGCAAAGAGAAAAGAUGCAAAGAGAAAAGAUGACUCCAGUUCUUCUGUGCAGGCAAUCUGAUUGAGGCACCGUGCAGCCACCUAUGAUGCUGGAAUGAAGGAAAUACGAGAAAACACUGCAGUGAAUUUGACUCCAAUACCCUAACCAGAAGUCAGAGCCACUUCCGGGUUCCUUUAUUCCCUCCGGCACUGCUUUGAUGACAUCACUCCAUCCCAAGAAUCUCAGCACCUCUUUUCCCAGCUUCCCCAUUUCCGUUCCCUCCUCAAUAAAUGUCCGAACUCCAUCUCAAUCAUUUGUCUGUUAUACAUUGUUUGUUCACUGACCGUUGGCUUUGCUAUUUUUAAUCAACAGUAUACUGGGAUGGA
Polypterus senegalus (gray bichir) is the source of this 577-nucleotide long non-coding RNA. RefSeq lists it as uncharacterized. The record is from RefSeq and is a predicted model, not a curated record. NCBI's taxonomy places the organism in Eukaryota, Metazoa, Chordata, Cladistia, Polypteriformes, Polypteridae. The transcript has 3 exons.